GACGAACGCUGGCGGCGUGCCUAAUACAUGCAAGUUGAGCGCUGAAGGUUGGUACUUGUACCAACUGGAUGAGCAGCGAACGGGUGAGUAACGCGUGGGGAAUCUGCCUUUGAGCGGGGGACAACAUUUGGAAACGAAUGCUAAUACCGCAUAAAAACUUUAAACACAAGUUUUAAGUUUGAAAGAUGCAAUUGCAUCACUCAAAGAUGAUCCCGCGUUGUAUUAGCUAGUUGGUGAGGUAAAGGCUCACCAAGGCGAUGAUACAUAGCCGACCUGAGAGGGUGAUCGGCCACAUUGGGACUGAGACAAGGCCCAAACUCCUACGGGAGGCAGCAGUAGGGAAUCUUCGGCAAUGGACGAAGGUCUGACCGAGCAACGCCGCGUGAGUGAAGAAGGUUUUCGGAUCGUAAAACUCUGUUGGUAGAGAAGAACGUUGGUGAGAGUGGAAAGCUCAUCAAGUGACGGUAACUACCCAGAAAGGGACGGCUAACUACGUG
This 497-nucleotide ribosomal RNA is filed under the name uncultured bacterium. Its description in RNAcentral is "partial 16S ribosomal RNA". It matches the Rfam family "Bacterial small subunit ribosomal RNA", at positions 28 to 507 of the family's 1533-position model. The record is from RNAcentral.